Carassius carassius (crucian carp) is the source of this 220-nucleotide long non-coding RNA. RefSeq lists it as uncharacterized. The transcript has 2 exons. The record is from RefSeq and is a predicted model, not a curated record. Lineage: Eukaryota; Metazoa; Chordata; Actinopteri; Cypriniformes; Cyprinidae.
UGAGAGUGUUUAUAGUGCUGUGAGUUUAACACUUCAUCACUGACACACACAACAAUCUUCAUCAACAUGACCUUCAUCAUCAUCUGGACACUUUUAUACUGCUUCGUACUACAAGGGUGUAAAGCUAAGAUCACAGUCACUCAGAGUCCUAAAGUACAAACUGCCACACCAGGAGAAAAUGUUAAGAUGAGUUGUAAACUCAGUUCUCCAGUUAUCAGUU